Molecule: ribosomal RNA, 405 nt
Filed under: uncultured bacterium
Lineage: Bacteria
Description: partial 16S ribosomal RNA
Rfam family: Bacterial small subunit ribosomal RNA
Source: RNAcentral
GAUGAACGCUGGCGGCGUGCCUAAUACAUGCAAGUCGAGCGAAGCGGGGACGGGUGAGUAACACGUAUGGGACUUCCUAUAAGAAUGGGAUAACUUCGGGAAAACGGAGCUAAACCGGCUACUUAUAGAUGGAUACGCUCUGCAUUAGCUAGUUGGUACGGUAACGGCUGUCCAAGUCAACGAUGCAUAGCCGGCCUGCGAGGUUGAUCGGCCACACUGGAACUGAGACACGGUCCAGACUCCUACGGGAGGCAGCAGUAGGGAAUCUUCCGCAAUGGGCGAAAGCCUGACGGAGCAACGCCGCGUUAGUGAUGAAGGUCUUCGGAUCGUAAAACUCUGUUAUUAGGGAAGCGGUACCUACUCAGAAAGCCACGGCUAACUACGUGCCAGCCGCCGCGGUAAUAC